RNAcentral lists this long non-coding RNA (802 nucleotides) under Danio rerio (zebrafish). Its description in RNAcentral is "si:dkeyp-21h4.2 (ENSDARG00000097640.3)". Lineage: Eukaryota; Metazoa; Chordata; Actinopteri; Cypriniformes; Danionidae. The record is from RNAcentral.
GAAAUUACGUGUCACACGUGUCCAAACUGCGCUCACAAGAUUCAAGCUACAAGCAGAGUCUAGCUGCACCAAACGCAACGCAAAAACAACAGACACAUUUAAAUACCAGGCAUUUCACACCCAAAAAAUGCCAUCAGGCACCUCCUAAAACAACGGCUUCCGGAAUGUCUGCAAGUGUGAGGAGGGCUGGAAAGGUCAGAUUCAGAUCACCCCGAAGCAGGACAACUCCAACUGCUAAUUUCUGGCUUACGAGACACGGGCACAAAGCCGCCUCUUAUGCGCAUAAGAGUGGCUGGGAUUCCUCACCGCGCGCAGGAAUGUGAGCAUCUGGUCUUCAGAAGUGUCUGUGCACACAUGGAGCCAUUAGUUCCACUUCUGGCUGGACCUGGACCUAAUCCUGCCUCUCUCUACAGUCUUCAGGGGCCCGUGGGGGCCACCCAAGAGACCCAUAACCACAGCAGCAACAAAUACCUCAGUCCUUACGUACAACUGCACAAGUCCAGGUGAUUCUGUCCCUGAAAACUCACUUCAAAGCUUUGUGUGUCACUGCUGCAGCACCUCGACUGACCUCCAGGCAAGCUGGACAGAUAGCCAGACAGAGGGGGGAAAGACAGGAAUGACUUGUGACAGUGAGGAAAAAUUCCAGAGGUGUUAGAAGAGGAACAGGAGGUAAGUUGGUGUCUGGGAUUUAAUGACCUUACAGCAAACACUUCAUCCAUCAGUUCCAUCAUGGACAAAACUGGUAAAUUACACACAACUAAACAGCUACAAAUAAAGGAGCUGCGCUUUAUAAUGCACUUAA